GUGAGGAAUUUUCCGCAAUGGGCGAAAGCCUGACGGAGCAAUGCCGCGUGAAGGAUGAAGGCCUAUGGGUUGUAAACUUCUUUUCUCAGAAAAGAAUUAUGACGGUAUCUGAGGAAUAAGCAUCGGCUAACUCUGUGCCAGCAGCCGCGGUAAGACAGAGGAUGCAAGCGUUAUCCGGAAUGAUUGGGCGUAAAGCGUCUGUAGGUUGUUUAAAAAGUAUUCUGUCAAAGAUUAGGGCUUAACCCUAGAUAGGCAGAAUAAACUUUUAAGAUAGAGUUUGGUAGAGGCAGAGGGAAUUCCCGGUGGAGCGGUGAAAUGCGUAGAUAUCGGGAGGAACACCAAAGGCGAAGGCACUCUGCUGGGCCAAUACUAACACUGAGAGACGAAAGCGAGGGGAGCAAAUGGGAUUAGAUACCCCUGUAGUCC
Molecule: ribosomal RNA, 426 nt
Filed under: uncultured bacterium
Lineage: Bacteria
Description: partial 16S ribosomal RNA
Rfam family: Bacterial small subunit ribosomal RNA
Source: RNAcentral